This 230-nucleotide long non-coding RNA is filed under the name Phaseolus vulgaris (common bean). RNAcentral's name for it is "long non-coding RNA (PVUL_LNC005356)". The record is from RNAcentral. Lineage: Eukaryota; Viridiplantae; Streptophyta; Magnoliopsida; Fabales; Fabaceae.
GUUGCAAAUGGACACCAUGGUCAGAUCAAGCUCAGGGUAUUGGCAAGCGACUUGCUCCAGGGCGGCGUCGAACCCGGCGGCAAGGACUUGGGCGGAGCUUUGCUUGAGCUCUUCGGUUUGUUUCUUCAGCUCGUCAGUUCGUUUCUUCAGCUCUUCAGUUUCCCCGCGAGCUUGAGCAAGGUCUUCAGCAACCUUUUUGCCUUCGUCCCGCGCCUGGGCCAGCUCUGCAG